Long non-coding RNA from Callorhinus ursinus (northern fur seal), 466 nucleotides. RefSeq lists it as uncharacterized. Lineage: Eukaryota; Metazoa; Chordata; Mammalia; Carnivora; Otariidae. The record is from RefSeq and is a predicted model, not a curated record.
AGAACAGGGAAGGAUUUCCUGGAAUCUGAGCAUACUCCACAAGAUUUCAGGUAUAUCUUAUCUAUUCCUCUGAGAUAAGUAUCAAAUACUGUUAUUCUCAUGCAGAAGAGGAAACUGAAGCUCUGGGAAGUUAAGUGCUUUAUUUGGGUUUUUAUAGCUACUCAAUGGCAGAUCUAGGAUUCCGCUUUCCAACAAAGUUCCACUUAAGAUUUGAGACAUCCCAGUCACCUUUACAAUUUGAAAAUAGUUGUGGAAAAUUUAUCUUUAUGGAGCAAGUGUCAUCUGGAGGAGACUGGAAACCUGCCAUUUAGUACCACGUCAAAACACUCACUCGACCUGAAUCCAUAUUCCAGUUGUUGUCAUGAUGUAGCAACUUUUAUCUUGAGCUUACCAUGUAAACAAAACACUCACCAUGAGGCAAGACGGAGGUCUCACAGUUCUUUGGAUUUAAGUGUGUAUACUUCUC